GCACGCGGCCUCGUGGUCGCCAGCCCGCGUAUCUCCGGCCGGCGCGACACUAGGCCAGCGCUGGUGGCUCGGAGGUGAAGCCCCGCCGUCUCUGAAGACGGUUAAGGGGGUCUUUACCCUCAAGACUAGGGCUGUCCGCGAGUGAGACUCAAACGCUGAGGUGAAAACAUCCGCGGAAUAUGGAGACCGAACCACACACAGGCCGACCGUAAGGAAACGUCUCGAACACUGAGUGCCCAAAAGACCAACGGUCUGUGCCCCACAGCCUUACCUGCCCCAGCCCCUGCCCAGGCUCGCCAGUCGCUCAGAUCAAUGGAUCGCAGGCCCUGCUGUCGCUCUCUGGGGCAUUCGCACUCGCAGUAACUUUAUCAAGUCUCACGGCAGCUUCUGCGCUAAUUUCCUGGUUCUAACCUAUGGUCUUCAAGGUCCUGUUUUUCAAAUCUGACUGGCUAGCCUCAGGAAAAAACGAAAAGGCUGGAGCCUCUCCCCUCCACCUGCAUGCACAUUGUAUUCUUCCUCCGGUUCCCGGCAGUUCAGCACUCGAGUCACGACCACUGCGUAUUAGUUGCAACAGUCGUGGUGUCUAGAAAGUUCCAAAAAAGCGAGUUAACACCUAUGGGUUCAAAUGGCACAGUGACCACUUCAGACAAGGUUGCAUGUGUGGAUGCCACAGAGGCCAAACGCAUAGGAUUCCCUGGAACUGGAGUCAUUAAAGGUUAUGAACCACCUGUCAUGGAGCCCGGGAAAUAAAGUGUGGUGGUUUGAAGAGCACUUAAAGCCAUCCAAGCAUCUCCCCACUUCCACACCCACUCCCCCCCCCUUUUUUUUUGAGAGUCUCUGUGUAACCCAGACUGUAUCGAGUUCCUACUUUUCUUUGACCACAUUUUAAUUAUUUAUGUGUGGAUGUGAAUGAAUUGGAGAGCAAUCUUCAAAAGUCCGUUCCUUCCCUCCAACACGUGAGUCCUGUGGAGAGAGAACUGAACUCGGAUAAAAUUUGAUGGCAAGCACUUUUAUCCCCUAAACCAUCUCAGAGGCUCCUUGAUAAAGCUUUUGAGCUUAACAUUUUAGUUCUACUAUAUGUCCUGAUUGUGUUACUUUCGUAUCUUAUCC
Molecule: long non-coding RNA, 1110 nt
Organism: Rattus norvegicus (Norway rat)
Lineage: Eukaryota; Metazoa; Chordata; Mammalia; Rodentia; Muridae
Source: Ensembl